Molecule: ribosomal RNA, 491 nt
Filed under: uncultured bacterium
Lineage: Bacteria
Description: partial 16S ribosomal RNA
Rfam family: Bacterial small subunit ribosomal RNA
Source: RNAcentral
GUGAACGCUGGCGGUAGGCCUAACACAUGCAAGUCGAACGGCAGCACAGUAAGAGCUUGCUCUUACGGGUGGCGAGUGGCGGACGGGUGAGGAAUACAUCGGAAUCUACUUUUUCGUGGGGGAUAACGUAGGGAAACUUACGCUAAUACCGCAUACGACCUACGGGUGAAAGCAGGGGAUCUUCGGACCUUGCGCGAUUGAAUGAGCCGAUGUCGGAUUAGCUAGUUGGCGGGGUAAAGGCCCACCAAGGCGACGAUCCGUAGCUGGUCUGAGAGGAUGAUCAGCCACACUGGAACUGAGACACGGUCCAGACUCCUACGGUAGGCAGCAGUGGGGAAUAUUGGACAAUGGGCGCAAGCCUGAUCCAGCCAUACCGCGUGGGUGAAGAAGGCCUUCGGGUUGUAAAGCCCUUUUGUUGGGAAAGAAAAGCAGCAGGUUAAUACCCCGCUGUUCUGACGGUACCCAAAGAAUAAGCACCGGCUAACUUCGUG